Long non-coding RNA from Cydia strobilella, 142 nucleotides. RefSeq lists it as uncharacterized. Lineage: Eukaryota; Metazoa; Arthropoda; Insecta; Lepidoptera; Tortricidae. The transcript has 2 exons. The record is from RefSeq and is a predicted model, not a curated record.
GACUGCUUACCAUCAGGCGGGCCGUAUGCUUGUUUGCCACCGUCGUGGUAUAAAAAAAAAUGUUCCGAAAAACUCAUUGGUACGAGCCGGGGUUUGAACCCACGACCUCCGGAUUGCAAGUCGCACGCUCUUACCGCUAGGC